Molecule: long non-coding RNA, 202 nt
Filed under: Sorghum bicolor (sorghum)
Lineage: Eukaryota; Viridiplantae; Streptophyta; Magnoliopsida; Poales; Poaceae
Description: long non-coding RNA (SBIC_LNC009006)
Source: RNAcentral
GUUUGCGCCCGAGGCCAAGGGGUCGGAUGAAUCGUGGCUUGUGCCUGAGGCCAAGGGGUCGGGCGAGCCGUGGCUUGUGCCCGAGGACAAGGGGUCGGGCGAGCCGGCGCUUGUGCCCGAGCCCUGGUAAUCAUGUAUGGUUUGCUUUGUCUUUUGCGAUUUUUAUUGCUCUGAUUUGGGUAUCCCUUUUUAUGGUACCCAA